UUUCAUUCGUGAAUGGUAUGUAUACAAUAACUAUCAAUAAAGACGACGAUAACUAACUUUUACAUCAAGUGAAAAGACCAGGGAAUCGUGGAAUCUACCAGAAACCACCAGUUUCAGUUAAGGAUUAAGAUAUUGUAACUACGUUGUUAAGCCAGCAAAUGUGUUUGUUGGCUUAACAAUCUCCGUUUUAUAUAAUGCUUUAUUGGCUGUCCGGGCAGAUAAAACAUAGUGAAACCAACUCCAAUUUUGGCCAGGACACAAGGAGUCUCUCCAGGUACAUCCUGCCUCGACUCCUCUUCAUCCUCCUAGAGAGCACCUAAGAAAAUUAGGAAGAACGAUGACACUAUGGCUCGAUUUAACCUUCUGGAUCAGCGCAGAAAAGAGGGAAGAGAGACAUGUCAUGCUCACUUCAAAGUUUGAUGAUGAUAUUGCAAGAUUUUGUCAUACCAUAGGUGAACUGAUCCGCAACUGCCACAACUUAAAAGGUCUAGCCAAGUUCAAAAUCCAUCAGCUUCUAUUUGAGAUGGGCAAAGAAAAUGCUGAAGACACUGUUUGAAUACACACACCCCGAUGUGGCUAAAGUAAUCUUUUUCAGUGACUAAAUAACUUUUGUUUGUUUGUGCAUUUUGUACUGUAGUUGUACUGUUCGAUUACAAAGUUGAAUCUAUUGUCAGUGAACAAGUACAGUACAAAGAAAUGCAGCUUGCAUUUAACCAGAAGUGCAAAUAGGACUAUUUCCUAGUAUUAAGUAUAUGUAUACACGUAGUAUGUAUAGAUGUGCAAUUAAUGCAAAUGCACUACAUAUGGCAAUUCUAAAUGUGCAAUUGAAGCAAAUAGAAAGCAGAACAUUUAUGAGUAUUAAGUAUAUAACCCUAACCCUAUUCCAUCAUCCAUCUUCUUCCGCUUAUCCGGGGCCGGGUCGCGGGGGCAGCAGUCUAAGCAGGGAUACCCAGACUUCCCUCUCCCCAGACACUUCCUCUAGCUCUUCCGGGGGGACACCGAGGCGUUCCCAGGCCAGCCGGGAGACAUAGUCCCUCCAGCGUGUCCUAGGUCUUUCCCGGGGUCUCCUCCCGGUGGGACGGGACCGGAACACCUUCCCAGGAAGGCGUUCCGGAGGCAUCCGAAACAGAUGCCCAAGCCACCUCAGCUGACCCCUCUCGAUGUGGAGGAGCAGCGGCUCUACUCUGAGCUCCUCCCGGGUGACCGAGCUUCUCACCCUAUCUCUAAGGGAUCGCUCAGCCACCCUGCGGAGAAAGCUCAUUUCGGCCGCCUGUAUCCGGGAGCUCUUUCUUCACCACGACAGACCGAUACAUCGACUGCAUUACUGCAGAAGCUGCACCGAUCCGUCUGUCAAUCUCCCGUUCCAUCCUUCCCUCACUCGUGAACAAGACCCCUAGAUACUUAAACUCCUCCACUUGAGGCAGGCACUCUCCACCAACCUGAAGUGGGCAAGCCACCCUUUUCCGACUGAGGACCAUGGCCUCGGAUUUGGAGGUGCUGAUUCUCAUCCCCACCGCUUCACACUCGGCUGCAAACCCUAUUAUUAAUCUAAUAUCUGCUUAUGAUUUAACCCUCCAAAUAUUUUCAGAAUAACAAUUAACAAUUGCUUACUUUGAAAGGGCUUCAUCAGAUUUACAUGCAAUGGAAAAGCAGCAUCUCCAAACGAUGACAUGGGGAUGGUGACUCCUAUCCCGGGAAUGUUUGACAUUAACAACGCAGACCUGCAGAAGCAUAAAUCAGGCUUUAGCCAGCUCUGCUUACGCGGUCCUGCAAAAAGAAGCAGGAUUGUAGUGAACUUCAAUCAUCUUAAUUUCACUGGUCAUUGAAAAUCGUCACGCCCUCACUCCUGGUUUUCUUCGCCAGAUUGGGUUAUUUAGUUUUCACUACGCCCUCCUAUUUCCAUUAAUUUGAUUGGCCAUCGAAACAUUUAGUCUCUGUGGAGACCGUAUUCGUCCUGUUUUGAUCCAUAAUCUGAAAAAUGUUGAUCCAUAAUCUUUUAUUUAUUUAACACCUUAAACGUAAUUUGCUCCAACGGACUUGAGUCCAGUCAAAUUAAGGACUUGUCAAGUCGCUAUAAUGUCAAAGCGCAAGGCAGAUGAUCGCCAGAGGAACUAGCCAAUGCAGCAGUGUGCACAAAGUGCAAAUAAAUUUGUCGACACAAGCUAAGACAAAAGCAGAGAUGAAAUCAGUAGAGACUGAAAAGAGUGAGACUGAAAAAACGUUUCGGUACCAACUUUAGCCUGCCUGCUGAGUGUGAACUGUUGAAAUCUUGGUACCGAAACAUUAUUCAAUUCUUAUUGCAUGUUACGCAGACUGGGUGCGUGAGUUAAUUUUGUUUACAUUAUUAUAUCCAAACAAGGAUCUUGCCAUUGUUCAGCGGACAUUGUUUCUUGAACUUUGCAAUAUAACAUCAAUUUAAACUUCUUGUGAAUCUGAAUCCCAACCAGCC
Molecule: long non-coding RNA, 2449 nt
Organism: Esox lucius (northern pike)
Lineage: Eukaryota; Metazoa; Chordata; Actinopteri; Esociformes; Esocidae
Source: Ensembl